Molecule: long non-coding RNA, 353 nt
Filed under: Panax ginseng (ginseng)
Lineage: Eukaryota; Viridiplantae; Streptophyta; Magnoliopsida; Apiales; Araliaceae
Description: long non-coding RNA (PGIN_LNC011128)
Source: RNAcentral
UUCUCUGCUCUGCUGCAGGUCAAAACAGAGGAUUCUCGAAUCCCUUUUUACUCUGUUUUAGUGCUUUUGAUUACAACAACAAUAGUUCCUAUCUUCCUAAUUACGGGUGGACCAGCGAAGAUAAUGCAGAGGAGCUUUAGUAGCAACUGUUUUGAGGGGAAACCCAUUUUUUUGAUCCAACCUCAAUUUGAUAGUUUAAUGGAGUCUUCAAAUUUUCAAAGCCAAGUGUUGAGCUCACCUGAAAACAGCUCCUCCUCUUCUGGCCAAAUGAGAAGGGUUUGUAGCGCUGGAAAUUUACAAGUUAGAUCCAACCUCUAUGAGUCUUGAUUGAUUGGUAGACUAUUGUGAUUGUC